RNAcentral lists this ribosomal RNA (374 nucleotides) under uncultured organism. RNAcentral describes it as "partial 16S ribosomal RNA". It matches the Rfam family "Bacterial small subunit ribosomal RNA", at positions 527 to 896 of the family's 1533-position model. The record is from RNAcentral.
GUAGGUGGCAAGCGUUGUCCGGAAUUAUUGGGCGUAAAGCGCGCGCAGGCGGUCCUUUAAGUCCGAUGUGAAAGCCCACGGCUCAACCGUGGAGGGUCAUUGGAAACUGGGGGACUUGAGUACAGAAGAGGAAAGCGGAAUUCCAAGUGUAGCGGUGAAAUGCGUAGAGAUUUGGAGGAACACCAGUGGCGAAGGCGGCUUUCUGGUCUGUAACUGACGCUGAGGCGCGAAAGCGUGGGGAGCAAACAGGAUUAGAUACCCUGGUAGUCCACGCCGUAAACGAUGAGUGCUAAGUGUUAGGGGGUUUCCCGCCCCCCUUAGUGCUGCAGCUAACGCAUUAAGCACUCCGCCUGGGGAGUACGGCCGCAAGGCUG